CCUACGGGUGGCAGCAGUCGAGAAUCAUUCACAAUGGGGGAAACCCUGAUGGUGCGACGCCGCGUGGGGGACUGAAGGUCUUCGGAUUGUAAACCCCUGUCAUGUGGGAGCAAAUUAAAAAGAUAGUACCACAAGAGGAAGAGACGGCUAACUCUGUGCCAGCAGCCGCGGUAAUACAGAGGUCUCAAGCGUUGUUCGGAAUCACUGGGCGUAAAGCGUGCGUAGGCUGUUUCGUAAGUCGUGUGUGAAAGGGGCGGGCUCAACCCGCGGACGGCACAUGAUACUGCGAGACUAGAGUAAUGGAGGGGGGACCGGAAUUCUCGGUGUAGCAGUGAAAUGCGUAGAUAUCGAGAGGAACACUCGUGGCGAAGGCGGGUUCCUGGACAUUAACUGACGCUGAGGCACGAAGGCCAGGGGAGCGAAAGGGAUUAGAUACCCUAGUAGUC
RNAcentral lists this ribosomal RNA (446 nucleotides) under uncultured bacterium. RNAcentral describes it as "partial 16S ribosomal RNA". It matches the Rfam family "Bacterial small subunit ribosomal RNA", at positions 338 to 795 of the family's 1533-position model. The record is from RNAcentral.